RNAcentral lists this ribosomal RNA (165 nucleotides) under Triticum aestivum (bread wheat). RNAcentral's name for it is "partial small subunit ribosomal RNA". The record is from RNAcentral. Lineage: Eukaryota; Viridiplantae; Streptophyta; Magnoliopsida; Poales; Poaceae.
AUGGGUUCGGAGACGUUCGUGGAGAUCCUGCUGGCCAUCCUGCUGCCGCCGGUCGGCGUCUUCCUCCGCUACGGCAUCGGCGUGGAGUUCUGGAUCUGCCUGCUGCUCACGGUGCUGGGCUACAUCCCCGGCAUCAUCUACGCCAUCUUCGUCCUCGUCGCAUAG